This 481-nucleotide ribosomal RNA is filed under the name uncultured bacterium. RNAcentral describes it as "partial 16S ribosomal RNA". It matches the Rfam family "Bacterial small subunit ribosomal RNA", at positions 355 to 826 of the family's 1533-position model. The record is from RNAcentral.
UAGGGAAUCUUCCACAAUGGACGCAAGUCUGAUGGAGCAACGCCGCGUGAGUGAAGAAGGUUUUCGGACCGUAAAGCUCUGUUGUUGGUGAAGAAGGAUAGAGGUAGUAACUGGCCUUUAUUUGACGGUAAUCAACCAGAAAGUCACGGCUAACUACGUGCCAGCAGCCGCGGUAAUACGUAGGUGGCAAGCGUUGUCCGGAUUUAUUGGGCGUAAAGCGAGCGCAGGCGGAAGAAUAAGUCUGAUGUGAAAGCCCUCGGCUUAACCGAGGAAUUGCAUCGGAAACUGUUUUCUUGAGUGCAGAAGAGGAGAGUAGAACUCCAUGUGUAGCGGUGGAAUGCGUAGAUAUAAAUGGAAGAAUACCAGUGGCGAAGGCGGCUCUCUGGUCUGCAACUGACGCUGAGGCUCGAAAGCAUGGGUAGCGAACAGGAUUAGAUACCCUGGUAGUCCAUGCCGUAAAACGAUGAGUGCUAAGUGUUGG